AGAACUGCAAAGUGGAGAUAUAGAGUGAAUGGAGGGAGAAAAAGAGUCAUUAUUAUCUCCGACAAGUCAUCAGAACCAGCGACUUAUUCAUCUUCUUAAUUAACUCAAGGUGAGAAGGAAUAAUAUGAGAAGCAACUACGGUGAAGUCUUUUCAUUGCGUUUUAUGUUUCUUUCUUUUGAAAGACAAGCACUACAUAAAGUUCAAUUAAGAAGAAAUAUGGAAAUUGUUACAGUUCAGCACUUCAGCCACUGAUUGCAAGGUGAAAGCACAUGGUAUCAGUUCGAGAAGUAUACCAGUAGCAUUAAAUUUCUUAGAUUUAUAUGUUCAUGUACAAAAAAAUCCUCCCACUUUGAGGCCAUCCAAGUAAAGAUCAUUUUUUCCAGGGGCGGAUCUAGCUCACAUUUGUAGAUUUCUAGAAACCUAAGGCGU
RNAcentral lists this long non-coding RNA (430 nucleotides) under Helianthus annuus (common sunflower). Lineage: Eukaryota; Viridiplantae; Streptophyta; Magnoliopsida; Asterales; Asteraceae. The record is from RNAcentral.